UUAAGUUAUUAAGGGCGCACGGUGGAUGCCUUGGCACUAGAAGCCGAUGAAGGACGUUACUAACGACGAUAUGCUUUGGGGAGCUGUAAGUAAGCUUUGAUCCAGAGAUUUCCGAAUGGGGAAACCCAGCAUGAGCUAUGUCAUGUUAUCGAUAUGUGAAUACAUAGCAUAUCAGAAGGCACACCCGGAGAACUGAAACAUCUUAGUACCCGGAGGAAGAGAAAGAAAAUUCGAUUCCCUUAGUAGCGGCGAGCGAAACGGGAAGAGCCCAAACCAACAAGCUUGCUUGUUGGGGUUGUAGGACACUCUAUACGGAGUUACAAAGGACGACAUUAGACGAAUCAUCUGGAAAGAUGAAUCAAAGAAGGUAAUAAUCCUGUAGUCGAAAAUGUUGUCUCUCUUGAGUGGAUCCUGAGUACGACGGAGCACGUGAAAUUCCGUCGGAAUCUGGGAGGACCAUCUCCUAAGGCUAAAUACUCUCUAGUGACCGAUAGUGAACCAGUACCGUGAGGGAAAGGUGAAAAGCACCCCGGAAGGGGAGUGAAAUAGAACCUGAAACCGUGUGCUUACAAGUAGUCAGAGCCCGUUAAUGGGUGAUGGCGUGCCUUUUGUAGAAUGAACCGGCGAGUUACGAUUUGAUGCAAGGUUAAGCAGUAAAUGUGGAGCCGUAGCGAAAGCGAGUCUGAAUAGGGCGUUUAGUAUUUGGUCGUAGACCCGAAACCAGGUGAUCUACCCUUGGUCAGGUUGAAGUUCAGGUAACACUGAAUGGAGGACCGAACCGACUUACGUUGAAAAGUGAGCGGAUGAACUGAGGGUAGCGGAGAAAUUCCAAUCGAACCUGGAGAUAGCUGGUUCUCUCCGAAAUAGCUUUAGGGCUAGCCUCAAGUGAUGAUUAUUGGAGGUAGAGCACUGUUUGGACGAGGGGCCCCUCUCGGGUUACCGAAUUCAGACAAACUCCGAAUGCCAAUUAAUUUAACUUGGGAGUCAGAACAUGGGUGAUAAGGUCCGUGUUCGAAAGGGAAACAGCCCAGACCACCAGCUAAGGUCCCAAAAUAUAUGUUAAGUGGAAAAGGAUGUGGCGUUGCCCAGACAACUAGGAUGUUGGCUUAGAAGCAGCCAUCAUUUAAAGAGUGCGUAAUAGCUCACUAGUCGAGUGACACUGCGCCGAAAAUGUACCGGGGCUAAACAUAUUACCGAAGCUGUGGAUUGUCCUUUGGACAAUGGUAGGAGAGCGUUCUAAGGGCGUUGAAGCAUGAUCGUAAGGACAUGUGGAGCGCUUAGAAGUGAGAAUGCCGGUGUGAGUAGCGAAAGACGGGUGAGAAUCCCGUCCACCGAUUGACUAAGGUUUCCAGAGGAAGGCUCGUCCGCUCUGGGUUAGUCGGGUCCUAAGCUGAGGCCGACAGGCGUAGGCGAUGGAUAACAGGUUGAUAUUCCUGUACCACCUAUAAUCGUUUUAAUCGAUGGGGGGACGCAGUAGGAUAGGCGAAGCGUGCGAUUGGAUUGCACGUCUAAGCAGUAAGGCUGAGUAUUAGGCAAAUCCGGUACUCGUUAAGGCUGAGCUGUGAUGGGGAGAAGACAUUGUGUCUUCGAGUCGUUGAUUUCACACUGCCGAGAAAAGCCUCUAGAUAGAAAAUAGGUGCCCGUACCGCAAACCGACACAGGUAGUCAAGAUGAGAAUUCUAAGGUGAGCGAGCGAACUCUCGUUAAGGAACUCGGCAAAAUGACCCCGUAACUUCGGGAGAAGGGGUGCUCUUUAGGGUUAACGCCCAGAAGAGCCGCAGUGAAUAGGCCCAAGCGACUGUUUAUCAAAAACACAGGUCUCUGCUAAACCGUAAGGUGAUGUAUAGGGGCUGACGCCUGCCCGGUGCUGGAAGGUUAAGAGGAGUGGUUAGCUUCUGCGAAGCUACGAAUCGAAGCCCCAGUAAACGGCGGCCGUAACUAUAACGGUCCUAAGGUAGCGAAAUUCCUUGUCGGGUAAGUUCCGACCCGCACGAAAGGCGUAACGAUUUGGGCACUGUCUCAACGAGAGACUCGGUGAAAUCAUAGUACCUGUGAAGAUGCAGGUUACCCGCGACAGGACGGAAAGACCCCGUGGAGCUUUACUGUAGCCUGAUAUUGAAAUUCGGCACAGCUUGUACAGGAUAGGUAGGAGCCUUUGAAACGUGAGCGCUAGCUUACGUGGAGGCGCUGGUGGGAUACUACCCUAGCUGUGUUGGCUUUCUAACCCGCACCACUUAUCGUGGUGGGAGACAGUGUCAGGCGGGCAGUUUGACUGGGGCGGUCGCCUCCUAAAAGGUAACGGAGGCGCUCAAAGGUUCCCUCAGAAUGGUUGGAAAUCAUUCAUAGAGUGUAAAGGCAUAAGGGAGCUUGACUGCGAGACCUACAAGUCGAGCAGGGUCGAAAGACGGACUUAGUGAUCCGGUGGUUCCGCAUGGAAGGGCCAUCGCUCAACGGAUAAAAGCUACCCCGGGGAUAACAGGCUUAUCUCCCCCAAGAGUUCACAUCGACGGGGAGGUUUGGCACCUCGAUGUCGGCUCAUCGCAUCCUGGGGCUGUAGUCGGUCCCAAGGGUUGGGCUGUUCGCCCAUUAAAGCGGUACGCGAGCUGGGUUCAGAACGUCGUGAGACAGUUCGGUCCCUAUCCGUCGUGGGCGUAGGAAAUUUGAGAGGAGCUGUCCUUAGUACGAGAGGACCGGGAUGGACAUACCUCUGGUGUACCAGUUGUCGUGCCAACGGCAUAGCUGGGUAGCUAUGUGUGGACGGGAUAAGUGCUGAAAGCAUCUAAGCAUGAAGCCCCCCUCAAGAUGAGAUUUCCCAACUUCGGUUAUAAGAUCCCUCAAAGAUGAUGAGGUUAAUAGGUUCGAGGUGGAAGCAUGGUGACAUGUGGAGCUGACGAAUACUAAUCGAUCGAAGACUUAAUCAA
RNAcentral lists this ribosomal RNA (2921 nucleotides) under Staphylococcus aureus. Its description in RNAcentral is "bacterial LSU rRNA". It matches the Rfam family "Bacterial large subunit ribosomal RNA". Lineage: Bacteria; Bacillati; Bacillota; Bacilli; Caryophanales; Staphylococcaceae. The record is from RNAcentral.